Long non-coding RNA from Haliotis rufescens (red abalone), 410 nucleotides. RefSeq lists it as uncharacterized. The record is from RefSeq and is a predicted model, not a curated record. The transcript has 3 exons. Lineage: Eukaryota; Metazoa; Mollusca; Gastropoda; Lepetellida; Haliotidae.
ACGAUCAAACCAACAUUUGGGAUCACGAUCACUACACAGUCACUUGACCUGUCAACACAUCGCUUCUUUCUCUGUGAUAUCAGCAGAACAACACAAACAUCAUGAAGUCUACACUAAUGAUAUUGGCGGUGAUCUGUUUCGUCGCCCUAACAUUUAAUGGUGUUGAGAGCUGUUGUCAUCACCGCCAUAGUCAUCACCGUCACAGCAGCAGCAGCAGUGGCAGCGGCUCCAGCAAGUUCAAGAGUUUCUUUCCCUCAAGUUUCUCCAAAUCCGGACUAAGUUCCUUUGGUGGUUUCGGAUCCUUCGGAUCUUUUGGAAAGAAGUAAAAGACUGUAGGUACACGCGAGAAGCUGUAGAAUGGACAACGAAUAUGUCAGUGAAAUAAUUAAUGUGCAAUAAAUAAUGUUGAU